This 82-nucleotide transfer RNA is filed under the name bacterium. Its description in RNAcentral is "tRNA-Leu". It matches the Rfam family "tRNA". From Rfam's summary of the family: Transfer RNA (tRNA) molecules are approximately 80 nucleotides in length. Their secondary structure includes four short double-helical elements and three loops (D, anti-codon, and T loops). The record is from RNAcentral.
GCCGCGGUGGCGAAAUUGGUAUCCGCGCACGACUCAAAAUCGUGUGGAGAAAUCCAUGAGAGUUCGAGUCUCUCCCGCGGCA